GGAUGAACGCUAGCUAUAGGCUUAACACAUGCAAGUCGAGGGGCAGCAUAUAGAUUGCUUGCAAUUUAUGAUGGCGACCGGCGCACGGGUGAGUAACGCGUAUCCAACCUACCCAUUACUAGGGAAUAACCCAGCGAAAGUUGGCCUAAUGCCCUAUGUAGUCGUUUGAUCGCCUGAGAUUUCGACGAAAGAUUUAUCGGUAUUGGAUGGGGAUGCGUCUGAUUAGCUUGUUGGCGGGGUAACGGCCCACCAAGGCGACGAUCAGUAGGGGUUCUGAGAGGAAGGUCCCCCACAUUGGAACUGAGACACGGUCCAAACUCCUACGGGAGGCAGCAGUGAGGAAUAUUGGUCAAUGGGCGAGAGCCUGAACCAGCCAAGUAGCGUGCAGGAUGACGGCCCUAUGGGUUGUAAACUGCUUUUACGCGGGGAUAAAGUGCGUGACGUGUCGCGCAUCGCAGGUACCGCGUGAAUAAGGACCGGCUAAUUCCGUGCCAGCAGCCGCGGUAAUACGGAAGGUCCGGGCGUUAUCCGGAUUUAUUGGGUUUAAAGGGAGCGCAGGCCGCCCGAUAAGCGUGUUGUGAAAUGUACCGGCUCAACCGGUGAGUUGCAGCGCGAACUGUCAGGCUUGAGUGCACGGUAAGCAGGCGGAAUUCAUGGUGUAGCGGUGAAAUGCUUAGAUAUCAUGAGGAACUCCGAUUGCGAAGGCAGCUUGCUGCAGUGCGACUGACGCUUAGGCUCGAAGGUGCGGGUAUCAAACAGGAUUAGAUACCCUGGUAGUCCGCACGGUAAACGAUGGAUGCCCGCUGUCCGCCCAUUCGUGGCGGGCGGGCCAAGCGAAAGCGUUAAGCAUCCCACCUGGGGAGUACGCCGGCAACGGUGAAACUCAAAGGAAUUGACGGGGG
This 902-nucleotide ribosomal RNA is filed under the name uncultured bacterium. RNAcentral's name for it is "bacterial SSU rRNA". It matches the Rfam family "Bacterial small subunit ribosomal RNA", at positions 27 to 919 of the family's 1533-position model. The record is from RNAcentral.